Molecule: ribosomal RNA, 328 nt
Filed under: uncultured eukaryote
Lineage: Eukaryota
Description: partial 18S ribosomal RNA
Rfam family: Eukaryotic small subunit ribosomal RNA
Source: RNAcentral
CCCUUAGAUGUCCUGGGCCGCACGCGCGUUACACUGAUGCAUUCAACGAGCUUAUAACCUUGGCCGAGAGGCCUGGGCAAUCUUGUUAACGUGCAUCGUGAUAGGGAUAGAUUAUUGAAAUUAUUAAUCUUGAACGAGGAAUUCCUAGUAAACGCAGAUCAUCAAUCUGCAUUGAUUACGUCCCUGCCCUUUGUACACACCGCCCGUCGCUCCUACCGAUUGAGUGGUCCGGUGAGGCUUUGGGAUCUGGAUGGAAAGAGCGUUUCGCUGUUUCUGCCCGGAAAACUCAGUCGAACCUUAUCAUUUAGAGGAAGGAGAAGUCGUAACA